UUCCCUGUAGCUCUGUUGGUAGAGCAUGGUGUUUGCAACACCAGGGUUGUGGGUUCAAUUCCAACAGGGGGGG
Non-coding RNA from Salmo salar (Atlantic salmon), 73 nucleotides. The record is from Rfam. NCBI's taxonomy places the organism in Eukaryota, Metazoa, Chordata, Actinopteri, Salmoniformes, Salmonidae.